AGUGAACGCUGGCGGUAGGCCUAACACAUGCAAGUCGAACGGCAGCACAGUAAGAGCUUGCUCUUACGGGUGGCGAGUGGCGGACGGGUGAGGAAUACAUCGGAAUCUACUUUUUCGUGGGGGAUAACGUAGGGAAACUUACGCUAAUACCGCAUACGACCUACGGGUGAAAGCAGGGGAUCUUCGGACCUUGCGCGAUUGAAUGAGCCGAUGUCGGAUUAGCUAGUUGGCGGGGUAAAGGCCCACCAAGGCGACGAUCCGUAGCUGGUCUGAGAGGAUGAAGAGGGACAGUGGGGAUGAGAAGCGGCACAGAGUCCUAGGGGAGGCAGAAGUGGGGAAUGUAGGCAAAAGGGGGGAAGACUGAACAAGGGAUGGAGCGUGGAUGAAGAAGGGCUGCGGGUUGUAAAACGGUUUUGUGGGGGAAGAACACUUGCGGGCAUAAAGAAGCUUGGUGUGACGGUAGUGAAUAAAGAAGCACCGGCUAACUACGUG
This 492-nucleotide ribosomal RNA is filed under the name uncultured bacterium. Its description in RNAcentral is "partial 16S ribosomal RNA". It matches the Rfam family "Bacterial small subunit ribosomal RNA", at positions 30 to 507 of the family's 1533-position model. The record is from RNAcentral.